UACGUAGGGUGCGAGCGUUAAUCGGAAUUACUGGGCGUAAAGCGUGCGCAGGCGGGUUUGUAAGCCAGAUGUGAAAUCCCCGGGCUUAACCUGGGAAUGGCAUUUGGGACUGCAAGGCUAGAGUGUGGCAGAGGAGACUGGAAUUCCUGGUGUAGCAGUGAAAUGCGUAGAUAUCAGGAGGAAUACCGAUGGCGAAGGCAGGUCUCUGGGCUAACACUGACGCUCAUGCACGAAAGCGUGGGGAGCAAACAGG
Molecule: ribosomal RNA, 253 nt
Filed under: uncultured bacterium
Lineage: Bacteria
Description: partial 16S ribosomal RNA
Rfam family: Bacterial small subunit ribosomal RNA
Source: RNAcentral